RNAcentral lists this ribosomal RNA (330 nucleotides) under Triticum aestivum (bread wheat). RNAcentral describes it as "partial small subunit ribosomal RNA". Lineage: Eukaryota; Viridiplantae; Streptophyta; Magnoliopsida; Poales; Poaceae. The record is from RNAcentral.
AUGGCGCGCAUAAACUUCGGUGUUAUCACCCUGAUCCCCAAAGUAGUUGGGGCGACGAACAUUCGCCAAUUCAGGCCUAUCACAGUUAUCAACGUCCUGGAGCGCAUCUUCUCUAAAGUAUGCGUGUCUAGACUCGCGCCUAUUAAUGAGAGGAUGAAUCACCCACUCCAGACAGCAUUCCUGAAAGGGAGAAGAUUCCAUGACGGGAUACUCUCCCUCCAUGAGAUUGUCCACGAGGUGCGAUCACGUGGGCUGAAGGGUGUAUGUUUGAAGCUGGACUUCCAGAAAGCAUAUGAUCGGCUUGACUGGGAUUUCCUGCGCCUUGUCAUG